CCUACGGGAGGCUGCAGUAGGGAAUUUUCGGCAAUGGGAGGAACCCUGAACGAGCAACGCCGCGUGAACGAAGAAGUUAUUCGUAAUGUAAAGUUCUUUUAACAGGGAAGAAAGAGAAAUUUGACGGUACCUGAAGAAUAAGCUACGGCUAACUACGUGCCAGCAGCCGCGGUCAUCCGUAGGGAGCGAGCGUUAGCCGGAAUUAUUGGCCGUAAAGGUUGCGUAGAGGGCAUAGUAAGUCUUUUGUAAAAAUGCUGGGCUAAACCCAGUAGGGCAAAAGAUACUGCAAAGCUAGAGUAUGACAGAGGCAAGUGGAACUAGAGGUGUAGCGGUAAAAUGCGUAAAUAUAUGUAAGAACACCAGUGGCGAAGGCGGCUUGCUGGGUCGAUACUGACAUUGAGGCACGAAAGCGUGGGGAGCAAACAGGAUUAGAUACCCUUGUAGUC
RNAcentral lists this ribosomal RNA (446 nucleotides) under uncultured bacterium. RNAcentral describes it as "partial 16S ribosomal RNA". It matches the Rfam family "Bacterial small subunit ribosomal RNA", at positions 338 to 795 of the family's 1533-position model. The record is from RNAcentral.